AAGACUGGAUAGGAGACAAGAAGGCAUCUUCUUGUUUUUAAAAGACCUAGCAAUAGGUAUGCUUAGGGAGGAGCUUGCGUCACAUUAGUUAGUUGGUGGGGUAAAGGCCUACCAAGACUAUGAUGUGUAGCCGGGCUGAGAGGUUGAACGGCCACAUUGGGACUGAGACACGGCCCAAACUCCUACGGGAGGCAGCAGUAGGGAAUUUUCGGCAAUGGAGGAAACUCUGACCGAGCAACGCCGCGUGAACGAUGAAGUAUUUCGGUACGUAAAGUUCUUUUAUUAGGGAAGAAUAAAUGAUGGAAAAAUCAUUCUGACGGUACCUAAUGAAUAAGCCCCGGCUAACUAUGUGCCAGCAGCCGCGGUAAUACAUAGGGGGCAAGCGUUAUCCGGAAUUAUUGGGCGUAAAGGGUGCGUAGGCGGUUAAAUAAGUUUAUGGUCUAAGUGCAAUGCUCAACAUUGUGAUGCUAUAAAAACUGUUUAGCUAGAGUAAGAUAGAGGCAAGUGGAAUUCCAUGUGUAGUGGUAAAAUGCGUAAAUAUAUGGAGGAACACCAGUAGCGAAGGCGGCUUGCUGGGUCUUUACUGACGCUGAGGCACGAAAGCGUGGGGAGCAAACAGGAUUAGAUACCCUGGUAGUCCACGCCGUAAACGAUGAGUACUAAACGUUGGGUAAAACCAGUGUUGAAGUUAACACAUUAAGUACUCCGCCUGAGUAGUACGUACGCAAGUAUGAAACUUAAAGGAAUUGACGGGACUCCGCACAAGCGGUGGAUCAUGUUGUUUAAUUCGAAGGUACCCGAAAAACCUCACCAGGUCUUGACAUGCUUCUGCAAAGCUGUAGAAACACAGUGGAGGUUAUCAGUUGCACAGGUGGUGCAUGGUUGUCGUCAGCUCGUGUCGUGAGAUGUUGGGUUAAGUCCCGCAACGAGCGCAACCCUUAUUGUUAGUUACCAGCACGUAAUGGUGGGGACUUUAGCAAGACUGCCAGUGAUAAAUUGGAGGAAGGUGGGGACGACGUCAAAUCAUCAUGCCCCUUAUGACCUGGGCUACAAACGUGAUACAAUGGCUGUUACAAAGGGUAGCUGAAGCGCAAGUUUUUGGCGAAUCUCAAAAAAACAGUCUCAGUUCGGAUUGAAGUCUGCAACUCGACUUCAUGAAGUUGGAAUCGCUAGUAAUCGCGAAUCAGCAUGUCGCGGUGAAUACGUUCUCGGGGUUUGUACACACCGCCCGUCAAACCACGAAAGUUGGU
This 1250-nucleotide ribosomal RNA is filed under the name Sesame phyllody phytoplasma. RNAcentral describes it as "bacterial SSU rRNA". It matches the Rfam family "Bacterial small subunit ribosomal RNA", at positions 165 to 1415 of the family's 1533-position model. Lineage: Bacteria; Bacillati; Mycoplasmatota; Mollicutes; Acholeplasmatales; Acholeplasmataceae. The record is from RNAcentral.